This 568-nucleotide ribosomal RNA is filed under the name uncultured bacterium. RNAcentral's name for it is "bacterial SSU rRNA". It matches the Rfam family "Bacterial small subunit ribosomal RNA", at positions 338 to 916 of the family's 1533-position model. The record is from RNAcentral.
CCUACGGGAGGCAGCAGUGGGGAAUAUUGCACAAUGGGCGAAAGCCUGAUGCAGCGACGCCGCGUGAGGGAUGACGGCCUUCGGGUUGUAAACCUCUUUCAGCAGGGAAGAAGCGAAAGUGACGGUACCUGCAGAAGAAGCGCCGGCUAACUACGUGCCAGCAGCCGCGGUAAUACGUAGGGCGCAAGCGUUGUCCGGAAUUAUUGGGCGUAAAGAGCUCGUAGGCGGCUUGUUGCGUCGGUUGUGAAAGCCCGGGGCUUAACCCCGGGUCUGCAGUCGAUACGGGCAGGCUAGAGUGUGGUAGGGGAGAUCGGAAUUCCUGGUGUAGCGGUGAAAUGCGCAGAUAUCAGGAGGAACACCGGUGGCGAAGGCGGAUCUCUGGGCCAUUACUGACGCUGAGGAGCGAAAGCGUGGGGAGCGAACAGGAUUAGAUACCCUGGUAGUCCACGCCGUAAACGUUGGGAACUAGGUGUUGGCGACAUUCCACGUCGUCGGUGCCGCAGCUAACGCAUUAAGUUCCCCGCCUGGGGAGUACGGCCGCAAGGCUAAAACUUAAAGGAAUUGACGG